AACGCACAUUGCGCCCGCCAGUAUUCUGGCGGGCAUGCCUGUUCGAGCGUCAUUUCAACCAUCAAGCGCCUCGCUUGUGUUGGGGCCCUGCGGCUGCCGCAGGCCCCCAAAUCCAGUGGCGGGCUCGUCGUCGUACCGAGUGCAGUAAACAUCCUCGCUCAGGGAACCCGACGGGUGCCGGCCGCGAAACCCCCCCUCCUUAAGGUUGACCUCGGAUCAGGUAGGAAUACCCGCUGAACUUAA
This 243-nucleotide unclassified non-coding RNA is filed under the name uncultured Lasiosphaeriaceae. RNAcentral's name for it is "sequence contains ITS2". The stretch from base 1 to 52 matches the Rfam family "5.8S ribosomal RNA", at positions 103 to 154 of the family's 154-position model. Lineage: Eukaryota; Fungi; Ascomycota; Sordariomycetes; Sordariales; Lasiosphaeriaceae. The record is from RNAcentral.